Molecule: transfer RNA, 72 nt
Organism: Camelus ferus (Wild Bactrian camel)
Lineage: Eukaryota; Metazoa; Chordata; Mammalia; Artiodactyla; Camelidae
Rfam family: tRNA
About the family: Transfer RNA (tRNA) molecules are approximately 80 nucleotides in length. Their secondary structure includes four short double-helical elements and three loops (D, anti-codon, and T loops).
Source: Rfam
GAGGGUAUAGCUUAGUGGUAGAGUGCAUUCUUAGUCCACACGAGGUCCUGGGAUCAAUCCCCAGUACCUCCA